GACUCGAUGCUCAACCAGAUAAAACAUGUAUUCAUCAUACAGUAGACGAAUCAGGUGAAAGGAACCAAAACUGGCAGCACUACGCAAGUGUAUACCCACUAGUACAGGCAUCAGAAUGUCCCAGCACCACAGAAGCUGAGGAUGGUUAUAUAACUCCUGAGAAGACAAUGUCUCAGUCUGGGACUUACCUGUAAAAGGACCAUUUAAGCAGGAACUGUCUCGCUGCCUUGGGGAAACUGGGGCUGCCAGCAUGGUGCUUUAGAACCUGAGUGACAACAUUAUCAAGCCACGUGGCCCACUGAUCCAGGGAGCUCUGCUGUUGCAAAGUCAGCUUGAAAUCCUGCUCCAGCUUCUGUACUACGCUCUCUUCACACUGGCACACCCAUGAGGCUUGUUCCUGGGAGUAAGAAGAACCUGUGGAUGGGGAUAUAAGCAUUUAACAGAAAAUUCUUGGUUGAAUAUAACAUUUAUGGCAAUGAAGACUAAGGGACUGCACCAGUGAACCAGCCUAUCCCAAGAAGAAUGAAGGAGCAUUAAAACCAAAUGUAGUGGAGAAGCGAACGUUGAUCUAAACAUGAAAAAGGACAGGGUUUUAGGAGCUGGGGUUUAAAUUCCCUUUUUGAAAUCAAUUCUUACAGAAUCUAGAGUGGUCAAUAGCCGUUAAAUGAUACCACAAUCCUACAACUGGGCUAAUAUCAUCACACCUCUUGUUGCUAGCUCAUGUAGUCCCUAGUGUGCUAAUAAGCUUGAAUCAAGGAGAGGCUAGUUCUAAUUUGGGAAGAACAUCUAUGCAGGGGAUAGCAGCCCCACAGCUCCUAAGUAGAUACAUGUCUGCAUAAGGGAAAAAAGGAGUUGAAAGAAGUCAGAUAUAUAGUCAAUCAAACUCCUUUGUACUAACCUUGUUCC
Long non-coding RNA from Trichosurus vulpecula (common brushtail), 906 nucleotides. RefSeq lists it as uncharacterized. The record is from RefSeq and is a predicted model, not a curated record. The transcript is spliced from 3 exons. Lineage: Eukaryota; Metazoa; Chordata; Mammalia; Diprotodontia; Phalangeridae.